This 238-nucleotide ribosomal RNA is filed under the name Trypanosoma rangeli. Its description in RNAcentral is "partial 24S alpha ribosomal RNA". Lineage: Eukaryota; Euglenozoa; Kinetoplastea; Trypanosomatida; Trypanosomatidae. The record is from RNAcentral.
CAGAUCUUGGUUGGCGUAGCAAAGAUCUAACGGAAAAUUACUUUAACAUGCAACGUUGGAUACUGGAGCGGGGAAGGAUUUCGUGCCAACGGCACUCGUACACGAGUUGUUCGGAUACUGAGCACAACGUUACACCGUUUUGUUAGGAAAGUGAAGGUGCGUCAAAUGGUAUGGGCCUCCUCUCUUCGGAAAGGAGCCUUACCCUUUGGCCAUUACUGAAAAGGGGCAACAGAGAACC